Molecule: long non-coding RNA, 404 nt
Filed under: Mytilus galloprovincialis (Mediterranean mussel)
Lineage: Eukaryota; Metazoa; Mollusca; Bivalvia; Mytilida; Mytilidae
Source: RNAcentral
CAUAAUUGUAAAAUAACGUGAAUAAUACCACGUUUUAGUGAAAAUUAUGGGAAUAAAGUCUGUUAAUGGGUUGGACAAUUAAAAUUGUGUCAGUUAAGAGUUAUUUAGCCACGACAAUAAUUUUGCUUCCUUUAUAUUUUCCCCUUGAAAAAUUUAAGAAUGAGAUGUUCCUGAGUAAACAAAAAUGACAAUACGGUGCCACAGUAUCCUAGAAAGAGCAUUUUUAUUUUGACUUUCUUUGCAUUUUAUUGAAGGGUGUGUCACUUCAAUAUAGCGUGAUAUGGAUUGGCCUCUGGAAUAUGCAUGAAUUUUUAUUGACGUUUUCAAUCAGCCUUAAUUUUUGUGUCUGUUCGAAGUAGCACGUUCUCAAUUCCGACUGAAAGUGUCUUUCUAAUACAACACAG